RNAcentral lists this transfer RNA (74 nucleotides) under Ktedonospora formicarum. RNAcentral's name for it is "tRNA-Asn". It matches the Rfam family "tRNA". From Rfam's summary of the family: Transfer RNA (tRNA) molecules are approximately 80 nucleotides in length. The record is from RNAcentral. Lineage: Bacteria; Bacillati; Chloroflexota; Ktedonobacteria; Ktedonobacterales; Ktedonobacteraceae.
UGUCAAGUAGCUCAGUGGUAGAGCGGGAGAUUGUUAAUCUCUAGGUCGGUGGUUCGAUACCACCCUUGACAGCC